This 356-nucleotide ribosomal RNA is filed under the name uncultured bacterium. RNAcentral's name for it is "bacterial SSU rRNA". It matches the Rfam family "Bacterial small subunit ribosomal RNA", at positions 100 to 483 of the family's 1533-position model. The record is from RNAcentral.
GAGGUAGUAACAUGUGGGUACCUUCCCUGAAGUCAAGAAUAACCAUACCGAAAGGUAUGCUAAUACUUGAUAGUCUCUACGGAGUAAAGUUUUAACGCUUCAGAACGGGCCCGCACGAUAUCAGCUAGUUGGUAGGGUAAUGGCCUACCAAGGCAAUGACGUCUAGAGGAGCUGAGAGGCUGACCCUCACCGAUGGGACUGAGACACGGCCACAAUACACCUACGGGUGGCUGCAGUCGAGAAUCUUCCGCAAAUGGACGAAAGUCUGACGGAGCGACGCCCGCGUGGUUGAUGAAGUACCUUAGGUACUGUAAAAACCCUUUUAUGAGGGAAAAAGUUUAUUGAUUGUACCUACA